Molecule: ribosomal RNA, 722 nt
Filed under: uncultured Fusobacterium sp.
Lineage: Bacteria; Fusobacteriati; Fusobacteriota; Fusobacteriia; Fusobacteriales; Fusobacteriaceae
Description: bacterial SSU rRNA
Rfam family: Bacterial small subunit ribosomal RNA
Source: RNAcentral
GAUGAACGCUGACAGAAUGCUUAACACAUGCAAGUCAACUUGAACUUCGGUUUGGGUGGCGGACGGGUGAGUAACGCGUAAAGAACUUGCCUCACAGUUAGGGACAACAUUUGGAAACGAAUGCUAAUACCUGAUAUUAUGAUUUUAGGGCAUCCUAGAAUUAUGAAAGCUAUAUGCGCUGUGAGAGAGCUUUGCGUCCCACUAGCUAGUUGGAGAGGUAACGGCUCACCAAGGCGAUGAUGGGUAGCCGGCCUGAGAGGGUGAACGGCCACAAGGGGACUGAGACACGGCCCUUACUCCUACGGGAGGCAGCAGUGGGGAAUAUUGGACAAUGGACCAAGAGUCUGAUCCAGCAAUUCUGUGUGCACGAUGAAGUUUUUCGGAAUGUAAAGUGCUUUCAGUUGGGAAGAAAAAAAUGACGGUACCAACAAAAGAAGUGACGGCUAAAUACGUGCCAGCAGCCGCGGUAAUACGUAUGUCACAAGCGUUAUCCGGAUUUAUUGGGCGUAAAGCGCGUCUAGGUGGUUAUGUAAGUCUGAUGUGAAAAUGCAGGGCUCAACUCUGUAUUGCGUUGGAAACUGUGUAACUAGAGUACUGGAGAGGUAAGCGGAACUACAAGUGUAGAGGUGAAAUUCGUAGAUAUUUGUAGGAAUGCCGAUGGGGAAGCCAGCUUACUGGACAGAUACUGACGCUAAAGCGCGAAAGCGUGGGUAGCAAACAGG